AUGCCCCGCCGUAGUCCAGAAGAUUGCUGUCACUCAAGUCUGUGUCUGUUCAAAACUGAUGAAACAGCAUCACUGGUCUCCUGGCAAACGAGUUAACAAAGUAACAGACAAACUAUCAAAACGAAGCUUCCAUGAGGAAAAUUAAAAUGCACCAAACAAAUGUAGGCCUAUUCGAUCAUCAAUGAAAGUUUGGAUAGUGGCACAUUAACGUCUUUGUUGUUGUUUAGUUAUGUUGAGGGCGGGACUGAGACCGAAAUGAACAAGGCGCGGCCAAGGAACCCUUCACACGUGCAGACAAAGGACCCAACAACACAACCAAAAUAUUCACUUUCAAACUUUUUGAGAAGCUGCGAAGACUUCGGAAACCAGACAAAAAGCAAAGGUGGAGUUUGAAACAAGAUUUACUUGCAAAGCUCUGUUCGGGAAAACGGUUUGGAGGUACGGGACAUUAAGCAAGCAUCCUACAGGGAUUCAUGGCGCGACUGUUGGAACAUUUAUGGAAUUCUAAGUCCAGGAAACUAUUGGAUUAUACCUUUAAUCGCCUGAAGUCAUGUGAAUAGUUGGUGCAUUAGAUCACCAGAAUGAUAUGGUUCAAAGUGGAUGGUGAGGAACACAGUGUUUCCAUACAGCCAGUGUGGUGUCACUGUAGCAGAGGGGGGUUUUGGUGACCCCGGGAGGACACGUGGACAGGGCCUCCGAGAGUUGCAGCUCGGCGUGCUGACGAGGUCUCGUGUCACACGUUGGGACCAGAGGCCCGGCGCGGCCUGUUAGACCACCAUGCAGGUCAGCAUCCACACCUCUGGAGGAGCUGGAGGGAACACCCAGGAGGCUUCACAAGGACCACAGGCUGGGGAGGAACGCCGUCGGGAGCCUGAGACAGACUGUGGAGACGGGAGCAAGCGGAGCAGUGGGUGACUGCGUUUGACGGGGGGCCUCAUGAAAGGUGUCUUUGACGAAGGGCAUCAGCAGAUCUGGGUGUCCGUGCCACGGAAGCAAGCGCAGAUGAGAGGUGUUAGGUGGCCCCCUCAGAGCCGAGCAACAGUCAUCAGCUCACAGGAAGUGUGCAGGAAGUGAUAUCCGUGGUCGAGGGACCUGCCCGGGCUAGUCUGGAGACCAGACGCCUAACUGCCGCUCUGCACCUGAGUCCUGGAGAGGGAGAUUACAGUGUCACGUGGAGACGGAGGAACCUCUACUGGGCAAGACAAGACAAGACUCGCCGACUGAUUUGAACGCAUUCAAGAUGCCGGAGUAGAGGAAUGUUGACCUACGUAGCUGUGGAGGAAUAGCAGACAGGAAAAACAAGGCUAAAGGUGUCCACACAAGGGCAAGAUCCAGCUUGCUUUCCUUCUGUUAUGGAACAUCUUGGUACCCGCAUCCACCAUUAGACCUGCCCUGUGGUACAGCCAGAGGAGGCCAGAUCCCUGGGAGCCUUAAUGAGGGUGGACGGGCCUCCACUUCCAUCCACCUCUUCACCUCCAGAACACACCGCUGACAUUUCCUCACAGUCCCCUGGGGUUCCGGCCAAACUUCUGACUGGCAGACUGACUACCGGGGUCUUAUCAUGCACACAGCCAGAGCUCUUCAGGUGUGUGUGUGUGCAGUGCACAUGCACACUACACACAAAUGGCUCUCUUGGGUCACUGACUGCCUCAACAGUGACCCAAGGGGUCCGGGCCAAGGGGAUAGAAUUGGAAGUCAUGCGGGCAGAAGGGGGUAGAUAGCAGGGGCCAAGUAGCAGGGGCCAGGCAGGAGGGCUGAGGCCAACCUGGAGGCUGACAUGCCCUCACAGCGGCCGACACGCCGGGGACCUGGGUCAGGUCUGUGAGGGAGCUGGCUGACUGGACCACCUUUAACACUCGACCACAUUGAUGAGGUUGUCUUGAGACGACAGUGUUUUAUGUUUCAGCCUAUUACCUCACCUAAGAGCAUGACCUUAAUCAAAAGUGAACUGCAAUUUGUUUAUUUGAUUUUAUGUAUCAAAUUUGUUGAAGACAUGCUUUCUCUAAUAAAAGCCUGGUCUACAGCAAAAGUCUGAACAGUCUGAAUAUGAAAAGUCAAUUGGUGUAAUGACUCUUUCUACACUUUCCAAGAACAUACCCAAAAAUAGAACCGCUUCUUUGGGGAUGA
Long non-coding RNA from Hypomesus transpacificus, 2127 nucleotides. RefSeq lists it as uncharacterized. The transcript has 8 exons. The record is from RefSeq and is a predicted model, not a curated record. Lineage: Eukaryota; Metazoa; Chordata; Actinopteri; Osmeriformes; Osmeridae.